AACCCCUUCGACGAGUCGAGUUGUUUGGGAAUGCAGCUCAAAAUGGGUGGUAAAUUUCAUCUAAAGCUAAAUACUGGCUGGAGACCGAUAGCGCACAAGUAGAGUGAUCGAAAGAUGAAAAGCACUUUGGAAAGAGAGUCAAAAAGUACGUGAAAUUGUUGAAAGGGAAGCGCUUGCAACCAGACCUGUCCGUGGGUGAUCAGCCGCCGUUCUCGGUGGUGCACUCGCCUACGAUCAGGCCAGCAUCGGUUCGGGCGGCCGGACAAAGGCCUUGGGAAUGUAGCUCCUCUCGGGGAGUCUUAUAGCCCUCGGUGCAAUGUGGCCAGCCCGGACCGAGGACCGCGCUUCGGCUAGGAUGCUGGCGUAAUGGUUGUAAGCGACCCGUCUUGAAACACGGACCAAGGAGUCUAACAUCUAUGCGAGUGUUUGGGUGUUAAACCCAUACGCGGAAUGAAAGUGAACGGAGGUGAGAACCCUUUAGGGCGCAUCAUCGACCGAUCCAGAUGUCUUCGGAUGGAUUUGAGUAUGAGCAUAGCUGUUGGGACCCGAAAGAUGGUGAACUAUGCCUGAAUAGGGUGAAGCCAGAGGAAACUCUGGUGGAGGCUCGCAGCGG
RNAcentral lists this ribosomal RNA (613 nucleotides) under Protoparmelia aff. badia A GS-2015. RNAcentral describes it as "eukaryotic LSU rRNA". It matches the Rfam family "Eukaryotic large subunit ribosomal RNA", at positions 250 to 883 of the family's 3401-position model. The record is from RNAcentral. Lineage: Eukaryota; Fungi; Ascomycota; Lecanoromycetes; Lecanorales; Parmeliaceae.